RNAcentral lists this long non-coding RNA (606 nucleotides) under Capsicum annuum. RNAcentral describes it as "long non-coding RNA (CANN_LNC017708)". Lineage: Eukaryota; Viridiplantae; Streptophyta; Magnoliopsida; Solanales; Solanaceae. The record is from RNAcentral.
GAAAAUUUUGAAUUCCGCUAUCAUUUUUCAUACCAAAUUUUAUUUUUUAUCAUACUGACAAGCAAUCAAAUCGUACCGAUAUCCAAAAAAAUCAAAAUAAUGAGACGGUUCAAAAAAUCUAGUUUUGGUUAUAUAAAAUAAAAUAAGCGAACAAUUGAUAUGGUAUACAUUUUAUAUAAUAAUCGUGCGAAUUGGAUCAUUGAUACUAAACAAUGCUAUAGAUCUUUGUGGUGUUCGGACCAACUUCCGCUCCAUCAAUAAUAGGUAUCAUCAGUAAGUCAGUACCUCCGUCCAUCAAAAUUAGAAUAGAAGGAAAGAAAUCACCUAAUAUUUUGUACUUGCUAGAAUUUAAACAUGAAACUUCAUAAUGCUUAGCUCAAUUCAUUAACCACCGGAUCAUAUUAGUGGAAAAUGAAUCAAUUAAACACGCCGUUUACGUCGAACCUUAAAGAACUCAAGUGUUCAAUGACUGAACGGAAGUAAAUACAUUUUCAUUUGUAGGCUAUCGACAUGUGAGAGAGGAAGCAAAUUGCAUCUGAAACUUUAAAAAAUCUGCUGAUUGAUUGAGGAUUUGGGGGAGCCUAUAAGCAGUUUUUAGAAUGUAUA